This 460-nucleotide ribosomal RNA is filed under the name uncultured bacterium. Its description in RNAcentral is "partial 16S ribosomal RNA". It matches the Rfam family "Bacterial small subunit ribosomal RNA", at positions 338 to 795 of the family's 1533-position model. The record is from RNAcentral.
CCUACGGGUGGCAGCAGUGAGGAAUAUUGGUCAAUGGGCGCGAGCCUGAACCAGCCAAGUAGCGUGAAGGAUGACUGCCCUACGGGUUGUAAACUUCUUUUAUAAAGGAGUAAAGUGAGGCACGUGUGCCUUUUUGUAUGUACUUUAUGAAUAAGGAUCGGCUAACUCCGUGCCAGCAGCCGCGGUAAUACGGAGGAUCCGAGCGUUAUCCGGAUUUGUUGGGUUUAAAGGGAGGGUAGGGGGAUUGGUAAGUCAGUUGGGAAAGUUUGCGGCUCAACAGUAAAAUUGCAGUUGAAACUGGCUGUCUUGAGAUGUCGAGAGGUAUGCGGAAUGCGCAGUGUAGCGGUGAAAUGCUUAGAUAUUGCGCAGAACUCCGAUUGCGAAGGCAGCAUACCGGCGGCGAUCUGACGCUGAGGCACGAAAGCGUGGGUAUCGAACAGGAUUAGAUACCCCUGUAGUC